CGCGGGGUAGAGCUGCUGGGUAGCUCGCAAGGCUAAUAACCUUGAUGUCACAGGUUCAAGCCCUGUCCCCGC
Molecule: transfer RNA, 72 nt
Filed under: Carnegiea gigantea
Lineage: Eukaryota; Viridiplantae; Streptophyta; Magnoliopsida; Caryophyllales; Cactaceae
Description: tRNA-Met
Rfam family: tRNA
About the family: Transfer RNA (tRNA) molecules are approximately 80 nucleotides in length. Their secondary structure includes four short double-helical elements and three loops (D, anti-codon, and T loops). Further hydrogen bonds mediate the characteristic L-shaped molecular structure. tRNAs have two regions of fundamental functional importance: the anti-codon, which is responsible for specific mRNA codon recognition, and the 3' end, to which the tRNAs corresponding amino acid is attached (by aminoacyl-tRNA synthetases). tRNAs cope with the degeneracy of the genetic code in two manners: having more than one tRNA (with a specific anti-codon) for a particular amino acid; and 'wobble' base-pairing, i.e. permitting non-standard base-pairing at the 3rd anti-codon position.
Source: RNAcentral